Molecule: transfer RNA, 47 nt
Filed under: Parapercis sexfasciata (grubfish)
Lineage: Eukaryota; Metazoa; Chordata; Actinopteri; Uranoscopiformes; Pinguipedidae
Description: partial tRNA-Pro
Source: RNAcentral
ACCAAUGGCUCCCAAAGCUAAAAUCCUACAUUAGACUAUUCUUCGAU